Gossypium raimondii (Peruvian cotton) is the source of this 145-nucleotide non-coding RNA. The record is from Rfam. Lineage: Eukaryota; Viridiplantae; Streptophyta; Magnoliopsida; Malvales; Malvaceae.
UAUUAAAAAUUUCAUCUAUUUCUAUUGUUAAAAAUUAAUGUAGUUGACGGAAUAACCGGAUAACUACACGUAACGUGCCAUGUGUAUUUCAUAUUUAUGUAAAGAGACCAAAUUUUAAUAGUAAAAAUAGAUAGAAUUUUUAACA